This 114-nucleotide ribosomal RNA is filed under the name Antheraea polyphemus (polyphemus moth). RNAcentral describes it as "partial 5.8S ribosomal RNA". It matches the Rfam family "5.8S ribosomal RNA", at positions 1 to 107 of the family's 154-position model. Rfam says of the family: 5.8S ribosomal RNA (5.8S rRNA) is a component of the large subunit of the eukaryotic ribosome. It is transcribed by RNA polymerase I as part of the 45S precursor that also contains 18S and 28S rRNA. Functionally, it is thought that 5.8S rRNA may be involved in ribosome translocation. RNAcentral also lists the same sequence under 7 other names. Lineage: Eukaryota; Metazoa; Arthropoda; Insecta; Lepidoptera; Saturniidae. The record is from RNAcentral.
AAACCAUUACCCUGGACGGUGGAUCACUUGGCUCGCGGGUCGAUGAAGAACGCAGUUAACUGCGCGUCAUAGUGUGAACUGCAGGACACAUUUGAACAUCGACACUUCGAACGC